CGGGGGCCGGACGGGAGCGCGGCGGCGGCAGCUGAGGCCCAGGCCAGGCCCCCUCCCUUCAGCCUCCCGCCUGCCCGUCUGCCCCGCCCCCGCCGGCGGCGCCGCGCCCCUCCCCCAAGCGCCAGACUAGCGCGGUGCGGGCGCCGCGUGCGAAGACAUGGGGGGGAAGCUGGAGCUGAGGCUGGAGUCGCUCGUGGGGACCGAGCCCGCCGUCUACCCGUGGCCGCUGCUGGUCUACCCAAGCCAAAGUUCUUUCUUCGAAGAAUCAGAUUUUUUGACUGAUGGUGAAGCAGAUGGAUCACAAAAUUAGGAGGUAGGACAACUGGAUAUUUCUGAUUACAACUCUUUUACAGAUUUGUUUGCUUGAGUAUGGUUUUUUGCUUCUUAUUUGAGCUAGAGUUUCCUCAUCACUAGAAUGAAGGUUUUCAUUAAAUAUUUCUGAGUGUUCUUUUGAGCAUCAUGUGAAUUUGUGAUCCUGUCUAACUUGUUGCAGAAAAAAUUUAAAUGUAUAUAAUCUUAGCAGUAUUUAUACUAGUUAUAAAUUCAAACAAAGUAGGGAUUUUAAACGCUGAAUUAUCCUGAUUUUAUGCCAUGCUGCCACUAAUAAACAAACAGCAAGUUCCCUGAUAGUGAUUCUCUAUUAUGGGAUAUUGAUAUAUUUUGGGAUUUGGAGGUUGGAUUGACCUCCCCCUGUUUACAAGACACAACUUUCUGAUUUGCCACCUGCUACGUCCUAUUCAUCUUUUUGUAAGACUUUUUAAACAUUCAGCAAAACCCUCAUGGUACAGAAUUUCCCCCAAGUGGCCCACAUUUGAACAGUAGAAUUCAACUGAGACUUGAAGAUGGGCCACACGCAGCACACCCUGCUGACAUGUUCCUCUACCCACGUCCCUCCUUUUCUCACUGCCUGGUAAUUGAAGUGUAUUUUUGUCAGUGGUGUCAAAGCCUGUCUCCUAGGCUGUCUUAUUAUUUUUAAAUCCCCGACAAGUCCACCACAGUGAUCCAGCUCCUUGCACAUUAUAGGUGCUCAAGAUCUAUUGGCCAAGCCAACACGUCUCUCUCAGUUUCUCUAGACUUGCAGGUCCUUAACUGUGGACCCUAGGGUGACUGGGAGACACAGCAGCUGGCCUGGAAGAAACUGUGCAUAAACCACAGAUUUUUACUUAUGCAGCUUUGUGCAUUAAUUCUGGAUAAGCACAUGAUAGAAUGUCAUAUGUGUGAAUUUUAUUUUUCAGGUGUAGUGAUGGUGGGAAAGAGGCUGGCAAUAGCUAUUGUAGACCACACUGCAUUAUAAAAAAAUCUGAUAAAUCCAAGCAAUUCAAUUCAAAAUGGUCAAUUAAGGGGAAAAAUGCAGUCAUUUAACUUGAUAAUUCUACAUGAUACAUUAAGUCUCUCACAGACUCCACCACAAUGAAAGCGAAAAGAGUUGAAUGAAGGUAGAGGAAGAUUUUCUUUAAGGUCCACUACUUGAUUUCUUUUAGCUCCUAAAUAUGUGGGAAGCAGUAAAGCAUGGUGCUCAGGCCAUUGUACUCACCUGAUCUUGGAGUUGGGCAGUGUAAUUUGUGCACUGGCUGAACAGAUGGAUAACUAAUCAUAGGCAAAUUCUUAACUUUUCUCUUCCUCAGUGUCUUCAUCUGUAAAAUGGGGAUAUUAUUGGUACUUACUUCUUAAGAGCUUUGUGAGGAUUAACUACACUAAUCCAUGGACAAGAGACAUGUUGUCUACAUAACAGGUGCCCAAUAAGUUACAGUGACUGUGUUGAGUUUUUGAUACUGCCCAUGACAACAAUGAUGGCAUAUGUCUAUUUUUAUCAUUAUAGUGUGAUUACACGUCAUAUAUGUUGUAUCUCCUUGUUCUGAGAUUAACAUAGCCUCUUUUAGAAACCACCAAAAGGCUCAACAGUAUUGGUGAGAAACAUCUGUGAGCAACAAACAUUCAGACACAAACAUUCAAUUAAGACGACCGCUUCCAGAAGCAGUCUCUGAAGCAUGUCUGAUCUAGAAGGGAUGCCCCCAUGCACUUCCUGCUGGGAGAGAAUCUUCUAUUGUUGCCAGUCAGGAUCAUUCCCUGUUGGUUUAAAUUAACCUGAAAGAGCCUCAGCAGUUCAGGUAUGUUUAGCUCAACAUCGCAGAUUGUUUAUACCUGUGAUGCAGGCACGUCAAAAGAAAACAACCACUGAGCCACUGGCUUAGGGUUUCCAGCUGAAGCUACAGCGGUUCUUUUCUGUAAGCACAGGAAAUCAGCCAAGCUCAGUUUGCUUAAGACAUUCAGGUAAACCGUUUGCUUUGUCAGAGCGCUCUCCCAGGAACGACCAAGAUAUUCCGAAUCAUUUACUUCUUUCCCAUUUGCCAUUCUUUUCAUGAGGUGGAUUCCCCAAUCGUAAACACAAAGAAAGUGUUUAAUCAGAAGCAGCCAGAAGUGAUUGGUGAUAACUGGGAUUUAAUGGCUCAAUCUCAAAUCUAGUUUCAGUUGUGUUUCACCAGAGAUUUUUUCAGAUUCUUGCUAUGAGAGUUUGGCAGAAGACAAUAAAAAUCAUGAUUUCCUCACUUUUUUCUGAUGUUUUGCUAUGGCGCUAAGUAAUAUGUUCAGUAUUCCCCUGGAAAUAUAUAAAGCACUUGACGUGGUGUGUUCAUCACUUGCCUCUGACUAAAAUGUCCAAAUGACUGAGAAUUAAUGAAAAUCAUUACGGAUAGGAGCAAAGGAUGUGUACCAAGAUGUUCACUAAAGCACUGUCUACAAUUGUGAAAAUGAAAACAUAUAUUAUAAACUGUAUAACAAUAGGCAUGAAGUAUUUACUACUACAUGGACUACUAUGAAACCAUUAAAAUAAUGAUGUAGAAACAAAAAAAUGUGAAAAAUGGGUUUUAAAAUUAAACAAUAACACACUAAUAUUAGAUUAUUUAGUUAUUAUUCUGGCUCCAACCAGAAGAAAAACAAACAGUAAUUUGAGCAUGGAAAGUGUAAUGAAAAAACUAUUAAUUAUGAAAGACGAUUAGAGUAAGGAAGGAAUGGCCAGCGACAAGUAAAGAGAACGCCAAAACACACAGUUAGCAGAAAUAAGGAGAGCCGCUAACCCUCCAGUUGAAAAGAAGACCUCCUCCUCCCUGCCCACAGGACUGAGGUCCAGACCCGGUUGAAAAGAGCAUGACUGUGGCUCACUGGAUGGUAAAGAAGCUGCUGUGGUGUCUCCUGGUGGAACUUUCUGGAAAUAUGCCCUCUGUAAGUUGCUGGAAAUCCACAUUCUAGGGUUCCAGUAAAACUAUGCACGGGGAGAUUUCUCACCUGAGGCGCUACUCCAAAACUGCUUGAUAGAAGAUGCUGACGGAAGCUGUCGUCCACUGCUCUCUCUGCGCACUGCUGAAGCCGACUACCGGAGAAGUUGUGAGCCCCGGGAGCAGAGCUGAGGACGCCCUCGGAGCUGCAGGAGUGAGUGGGUGCUGAAGACGCCACCAAGAGCCUUCCCAGCAAGCACCGGGGCAUCACGAAGCAACACCUUCCUCAGGUGCCAUCAAUUAGGAAAGCCUAACAUCACACGAGCUGGCCAAGGAAAAACUAUUUAAAGGACCCAUAGCACUUUUCACAGAGCAAGUAACAAAAGGUGAAUUUCGAGCUGAGAGGCGGUAACCAAUGUUACCUCAAGAAAAAUUAAAUUAAAACGGAGUUUUCUUUUUUUUUUUUUUUUUGCGGUACACGGGCCUCUCACUGUUGUGGCCUCUCCCGUUGCGGAGCACAGGCUCCGGACGCGCAGGCUCAGCGGCCAUGGCUCACGGGCCCAGCCGCUCCACGGCAUGUGGGAUCUUCCCGGACCGGGGCACGAAUCCGCGUCCCCUGCAUCAGCAGGCAGACUCUCAACCACUGCGCCACCAGGGAAGCCCUAAAAAGUUUUUAUCACAUAAUCAGUGAAAUGCAAAUUCAAGCAAUAAGAUGCCAUUUUUGACUAAAAAACAAACUGACACAAAGAGUAUAUAAUAUUAAAACGUUAACAAUGGCUCUCUUUGGGUGGGAAAUUACCAGUGAAUUUCUCAUUUUUCUUGGAGCAUUGCCAUAUUCCUACAAUAUAAAUGUACACAGAUUUCCAAUGCACAAAAAUAAAAUACAAUUAUCAACUCAGCUACCCAAUAAACUUAAUAUUCACUCAAUAACUUUUACUCUGUAUUUAAUUACAGCAUAAAAUGUAAGAACAAAUGCAAUAUGGAUGCUGCAUAUUAAAGGGACUCGAUCAGUCUUACUCAUUUUGUGGAAUCAAGGAAAGGACCAUUCAAGCGUUUCCAUGAGUUUCUCUUCCAUUCUACCUAAAACUCCCUCUUGCUGGAGGAAUUCUGUCGAUCAAAUUCUAGUUAUCCAAAUCAACACAUUUAAUAUAUCUUACAGGGGUAUUAGUGCUUUGUGUGUGUGGGGGGAGGGGUGGUGGGUACAGGUGAAAUAAGUUUAGGAAAUGAUCAAUGUACCAAAGGUGAACAGGUUUACAUAUUGCUGUUUCUAUCUGUACAUACCACACAGGUUUGUACAGAACUGCAAUAGUGUUUGGAUCUAGCUAGAGCCUGGAUAUGAUUCUGCUUUACCAACCCAACAAGGAACUUCUUCUGUGCACAUGAUUGAAUCAAGGUGAAUGAACAUGUUUGGGGGAAGUUUUAAAGGCUUACACAAAGAACUACAGCUCUGUCAAGUGAUGUAAUAUAAUUAUAAAAGUUCUUUUAAAAAAAUUUACUGUUGCCUUUCAGUCUACCUUCCUGUAUUUUACUACACUCUACCUUAUUUUAAAUGUGAUUUAAGGAAAUGUUUUGCUCCAUACUUUCUUAGUCUAUCCCUCCCUUUCUUCCUCUUUGCCUUAUAAAAGAAUAAAUAUAUAAUCGAGCCAAAAAAAAAAA
This is a long non-coding RNA of Globicephala melas (long-finned pilot whale), 4868 nucleotides long. RefSeq lists it as uncharacterized. Lineage: Eukaryota; Metazoa; Chordata; Mammalia; Artiodactyla; Delphinidae. The record is from RefSeq and is a predicted model, not a curated record.